Molecule: ribosomal RNA, 253 nt
Filed under: uncultured bacterium
Lineage: Bacteria
Description: partial 16S ribosomal RNA
Rfam family: Bacterial small subunit ribosomal RNA
Source: RNAcentral
UACGUAGGGUGCGAGCGUUAAUCGGAAUUACUGGGCGUAAAGCGUGCGCAGGCGGUUUUGUAAGCCUGAUGUGAAAGCCCCGGGCUUAACCUGGGAAUGGCAUUUGGAACUGCAAGGCUCGAGUGCGGCAGAGGAGACUGGAAUUCCUGGUGUAGCAGUGAAAUGCGUAGAUAUCAGGAGGAAUACCGAUGGCGAAGGCAGGUCUCUGGGCUGACACUGACGCUCAUGCACGAAAGCGUGGGGAGCAAACAGG